GUUGAAGGAGUGUUAGAGAUCCAAGCUUGGAAACCUGGCAAGAUCUUAGUUUACCAACCCAUGUUGUAAAGUACCGCAGCUGGACAGAGUGGAAGCUCUGAAGACCUUUGCUCUGAACAAGUAAUUGAGAAGGGAAGAUGAGAGGGCAAUAGUACAGCACAAGUCAAGCAUGGGGGCUUUGGCAGAACUUAUUGAGCAAAGUAAGUAAUUAAGCCCAUCCAGAGAAGGCAGUUUUUGAGCUGGGUAUUAGGAAAUAUGUAAGAUUUCUAUAGGUGGAGAAGGAGAUGUCAGGCAUUCCUGAAUGAGAAAAUACAUUGAGCAAAAAGGCACAGACGUGGACACCUGUAGGUGGGGGCUAGGAUUGGGGCUGGUAACAACUGAAGGGAUGAAAUGGAAGGUGAGGCUGGAAAGGCAGGUUAGCCAAAUUUGAAAUUUAGAUAAUUGAUAUAUGUUGCAUGGAACCUGAAUGAUAGCAUGUCUGAGUAUAUUGCAAAAGAAGACAGUACCUGUUGGCCAAGGAAGGAUGCAGCCCAGUCUAUUCCCUGCUGUAAAGUUGAAAACAAAAGGAAGGUUAGGACAGACAGGGAAGCCCUAGACUCUGAGGGUUGUGUGAGUUCAGGAUAACCGCGUGUGGUUUAGAAAAGACAGGGAGAGAGCUGAUAGCUAGGAAAAAUCCCAGAAUUGGGAAAGUACUGCCCACCCCAAAGUAAACUGUUUGAGUGUAGAGACCCUGCUUAGGUUUUCCUUGAUGUAAACUCAGUGCCUACACAGUGUUAGGCACUUAGUAGGUGCUCAUAUAUUUGUCUAAUAAAAGAAUAAAUGGGCCAGGCACAGUGGCUUAUGCCUGUAAUCCCAGCACUUUGGGAGGCCGAGGCGGGCAGAUCACAAGGUUAAGAGAUCGAGACCAUCCUGGCCAACAUGGUGAAACCUCAUCUCUACUAAAAAUACAAAAGUAGCCGGGCAUGGUGGCACAUGCCUGUAAUCCCAGCUACUUGGGAGGCUGAGGCAGGAGAAUCGCUUGAACCCGGGAGGCGGAGGUUGCAGUGAGCCGAGAUUGCACCACUGCACUCCAGCCUGGGCAACAAGAGCAAAACUCCGUCUCAAAAGAAAAAAAAAAGAAUAAAUGAUCUGCAGUUUAUGAGAAAUGUCAGGAUGAAAGAGAGAGAAAACACUGAGAGGGACAAUAUUAGAGCUGUAUUAAAUCUGAAUUGGUUAUUGCAGACCCAUCAAAAAGGAAAUAUGUUCAGCUUGGCAUGAUACAGUCGUACCUAUCCUGACUCUGAGUAGGCUAUUGCUUCUCUAAGAGCUUACUAACCAUCUGUUUAAUAACUCGUUUUCAGAAUUUUUCCAGAGUCAAUGUGAAGUUCACUGGACUGAGUUCCCAGAAUUGACCAUUUCUCUUUUUUUUCCAUCUGUUUUUCUCUAUUCCUCCAUCAUGCUUUGGCUCUCCACUUUUUCUAAGACCUCUAUAACUGUUCAUGUAAGCACGUUUGUUCAUUUCCCCUAUUCUACAACCAUCCCCUUUUUGUGCAUUUUGCUUGAAAUGUAACUUUAAAAAUAGUUUCUUCUCCCAAGUUUGCAGAGCUUGGCCUAUUCUGGACUUUUAACUUUCCAGAAUUUUUUUUUUUCUUUGACAGGGUCUCACUCUGUCACCCAGGCAGGAGCGCAGUGGCGAAAUCUUUCCUCACUGCAACCCGGGCUCAAGCAAUUUUUUCACCUCAGCCUCCCCAGUAGCUGGAACUACUACAGGCACAUGCCACCAUAUCCACUUGAUUUUUGUGUUUUUUAUAGAGAUGGGGUUUUGCCACAUUGCCCAGGCUGGUUUGGAACUCCUGGGCUCAAACAAUCUGCCCCCCUUAGGCUCCCCAGAAACUAUUCUUAAAAGUGUUAGCAAAAAAAAAAAAAAAAAGUGUAGGCCAAGCACAGUGGCUCAUGCCUGUAAUCCCAACACUUAGGGAGGCAGAGGCAGGAGGAUACCUUGAGCCUAAGAGUUAGAGACCUGCCUGGGCAAUACAGCAAGACCCUUUUCUGCACAAAAAGGAAAAAAGAAAGACACAAAAAAAGUGGUAGCUAUUCAUUCUUACAUGCAUACCCCUUCUCCAUCAGCUAUUUUUUUCCUGCAAGUCCCUUUAAAAGUAGAGGUAUUCGGAAACCAUAACCCAUCAUAUUUUUGGCUGCUCAUGGUAGUCUCAGAAUUUAAUUUCUGAAAAGAUCCUAUCCCUUUUGAGCUAACUUACUUAUUAAGACUCCCUGGAAUCUUCUCUAAUACUUCUUUGACAUUUUAGAAAUCUGAACGUCUAAAGUUGAGUUCACACGUUUCUUCAUACCCAACAUUGUCUGCCUUGAUUAUCACAAAUUAUUAUGCUUUGUCUAAAGUUUUGAUCUGACUUAAAUCCAAAGCAACACAUCCCUUUAUGGCCUCCCCUACGUCUUGCGAGAUGAAAUGGACAACAGGAGAAAGUGAAAAUACAUGAGAUGAUUUAUUUUGAAUGAGUUAAGAUUUCCAAUAGCUGUCUGCAUAAUUGGAAAACCCCAAAAAAACUUUCUCUUACCUUUUGGAUACAUGGUUUUGUGAAUUAUAUUGGGAAAAUCUACAUAUUAUAGGCCUGGGUAUCAGGAAACACAUGGCACAUUUAAAGGCUAAUUGAAGAGAAUUUAAUGAAGGAAUAAAGGUGUUAAGGAAAACAAACAAGGGAUAGUUAGACAUCCAGGGACUAGCAACAGCUGGAGUUUUUACCAUCUCUAGGCCUGAAGGGAGAAGAGGAUGGAGGUGUUAUCAGAACCCAGGGAGAGGUUUAUUAUUAACAAUUUGCCAGGGGCCGGACGCGGUGGCUCACGCCUGUAAUCCCAGCACUUUGGGAGGCCAAGACGGGUGGAUCACCUGAGGUCAGGAGUUCAAGACCAGCCUGUU
RNAcentral lists this long non-coding RNA (2911 nucleotides) under Homo sapiens (human). RNAcentral's name for it is "HSALNT0105522". Lineage: Eukaryota; Metazoa; Chordata; Mammalia; Primates; Hominidae. The record is from RNAcentral.